GGAAAGGUGAAAAGCACCCCGGGAGGGGAGUGAAAAAGAACCUGAAACCCUGUGCCUACAAGCACCUAGAGCGCGUCAAAGCGUGAUAGGGUACUUUUUGUAGAACGGUCCGGCGAGCGAUUGUAUGCAGCAAGGUUAAGGACUUAAGGUCCGGAGCCGAAGCGAAAGCGAGUUUGAAAAGGGCGUUAAGUUGCAUAUAAUGGGCCCGAAACCGGGUGACCUACCCAUGGUCAGGUUGAAGUGGAAGUAAAAUUCCAUGGAGGACCGAACCGACCUCCGUUGAAAAGGCGGCGGAUGAACUGUGGGUAGCGGAGAAAUUCCAAUCGAACCCGGAGAUAGCUGGUUCUCCCCGAAAUAGUUUUAGGACUAGCCUCAAGUUAGAUACCUGGAGGUAAAGCACUGAAUAGCCUAGCGGCCGAGAGGUUAGCGAAGCUUAUCAAACUCAGAAUGCCAGAGUAUUGAUGCUUGGGAGUCAGACAGUGUCAGAUAAAUGUCAUUGUCAAAAGGGAAACAGCCCAGAUCUACAGCUAAGGUCCCAAAGUCAGGUUAAGUGGAAAACGAUGUGAAGAUACGCAGACAACCAGGAUGUUGGCUCAGAAGCAGCCACUCAUUCAAAGAGUGCGUAAUAGCUCACUGGUCGAGCGUCUUUGCGCGGAGAAUUUAACGGGGCUAAACCUGACACCGAAGCUUAGGCAAUACAGCAAUGUAUUGGGUAGGGGAGCGUUGUAUACGCGGUGAAACAGUAGCGCAAGCGGCUGUGGAGUGUAUAGAAGUGAGAAUGCCGGAAUGAGUAGCGCGAAUGCAGUGAGAAUCUGCAUGGCCGAAAGCCUCAGGUUUCUGGAGGAAGGUUCGUCCGCUCCAGGUUAGUCGGGAGCUAAGGUGAGGCCUAACGGCGUAGCCGAUGCACAGACGGUAGAGAUUCCGUCACCACCAAAAGAGUUAAGCACAGGGACACAUUUGAAGUCUCGGAGCCGGGUGUUGGUUCCGGUAGCGAUCGAGGGAAGUUAGUACCGAAGUCUGAGAUGGAAGAUGGCGAGAAAAGCUGUGUGUAUUUCUGCGGUGCCCGUACCGCAAACCGACACAGGUAGGUAGGAAGAAGAUUCUAAGGCCAACGGGAGAAGGGUUGUUAAGGAACUCGGCAAAUUGACCCCGUAACUUCGGGAGAAGGGGUGCUCCAGAGAUGGAGCCGCAGAGAAUCGGCCCAAGCAACUGUUUACCAAAAACACAGGUUUGUGCUAAAUCGAAAGAUGACGUAUACGAGCUGACGCCUGCCCGGUGCUGGAAGGUUAAGAGGAGAUGUGCAAGCAUUGAAUCGAAGCCCCAGUGAACGGCGGCCGUAACUAUAACGGUCCUAAGGUAGCGAAAUUCCUUGUCAGGUAAG
Molecule: ribosomal RNA, 1381 nt
Filed under: human gut metagenome
Description: bacterial LSU rRNA
Rfam family: Bacterial large subunit ribosomal RNA
Source: RNAcentral